AAAACUACAGGCCUUAGAGUAAGACAUAUUAAAUUUUUUGUCUUACUGGAAAUUUUACUGAAAAUUUCAAAGGAAUAAUUUUCAUACAUUUAUAUACAAAAAGUGAAGUGAGUGAAAGACUUCAAAUAUUUUUUGUCGUACUGGAUAUUUUACGGAAAAUUUCUAAGGAUUAAUCUGCAAAAUGGGUAUUUUUGAUGAUUUUCUCAACUAUGUGACUCGUCUGUUAUGCUUCUCUUCUGAUCCCGAUGGUAAUUUCGAGGGUUUCAUUGGCAUGGGCAACAAGAUCGCUUUAAGGGUUUAUGAAGUGAUAGACAGAGUGCUGAAUCGAGAGGAAAUGAGUUAUCACACCAACUUGGUGCUGGGAUUAGCAGUUGUUGCCGUGACAGUUUGCGGAAUUUCGAUUUAUUUGUUAAUGAAAUGUCAGAGAGCUCCUCUUCUGAGUAACAUAUGUCAGGGCGGUCCACCAGCAAAAAAGACUCCAUUGAGAGUGACUAGUUCAAGCACUCGUUCUGGGUCAAAUGAUCGUGACUACGAGGAGGACUAGGAGAUCUCCAUCAACGCCACCACCAAAGCCACCACACCAAAGCCACAAAUGAACCAUCAAUUCCAUCAUCUGGGGGGGGCUGCUAAUCCUUCCAGGAUACACAAGCGUAAUACUCAAAAAGAAGUCAACAUUAACCAGGUGGAACACACACACGGAGCCCCUGAAACUUCUCAGCCAUAUAUCCCCGAGUUUUAAUUAUUUUAAUGUUUGUUAUUUCUAGAAACCUUUCUUGUUUGUUUUAUUGUACUUUCCGUCAUCCGCCCUUCCCUAAUUGCAAAAUUCUGAAUGUUAACAUUUCACAAAUAGCUGGUUACAAAUUGUAUAAUUCAAUCAUUCGACCAACAACUAUGAUAUUGUCAUCUAUUGUACUUUUUAAAAUGGGAAGCAAAGCAAGACUUUUAUUUUGCCCGCAAUGUGAUAUCAUUGGUUAAAACUCGUAUGAAAUGGAACCUAAAACCGAGUGCGAUCCCAAAACCCACAACCGAGAGGACACGUUCCUGCCUUCAUCAUGUUCAAUGGCCGCUCAAUAGACUCUCCUCGUAUCUGCUGUUGUAAUUUGCUGGCCCUGCCAGCUGUCGCUGCGGUUGCCCGCCUAAUGGCUGUCGAGAAGGGGCGGAAGGGGGGCCAAAGGACCCCCAUUUCAGCAGCCCCCUCCCCCCUUUUCACAGCCAUGGCCACAGUCAUAUGGUGCAGACGCCCCGGCAUAGAGAGAUACAUCCCCAUGGCCUGGGCGACUUUGGAUUUCAUUAAACGCAAAUUUAUGCCUUUACUUGAAUGUCAAAUAUUGCAAAUGUCAAACGAUGAGGCGGCCAGUGAAGGAGCGUGGGGAUAUGGAAUAAAACACUGGGAGAAAAUCGAUCAUCAAACAUACAUACAUACAUACAUAAAAAUUAUUAUACAUGUAAUAAUAAGAAAAUGGCAUAGUUAAAUCACUCAAAGUAUGUACGUUAACGCCCAACAA
Molecule: RNA transcript, 1505 nt
Organism: Drosophila gunungcola (fruit fly)
Lineage: Eukaryota; Metazoa; Arthropoda; Insecta; Diptera; Drosophilidae
Exons: 4
Source: RefSeq, a predicted model, not a curated record